RNAcentral lists this ribosomal RNA (253 nucleotides) under uncultured bacterium. Its description in RNAcentral is "partial 16S ribosomal RNA". It matches the Rfam family "Bacterial small subunit ribosomal RNA", at positions 524 to 776 of the family's 1533-position model. The record is from RNAcentral.
UACAGAGGGGGCAAGCGUUGCUCGGAAUCACUGGGCGUAAAGGGCGCGUAGGCGGUGUGUCAAGUCAGGCGUGAAAGCCCCGGGCUCAACCUGGGAACCGCGCUUGAGACUGGCACGCUCGAGUUCGGGAGAGGAUGGUGGAAUUCCCAGUGUAGAGGUGAAAUUCGUAGAUAUUGGGAAGAACACCGAUGGCGAAGGCAGCCAUCUGGACCGACACUGACGCUGAGGCGCGAAAGCGUGGGGAGCAAACAGG